RNAcentral lists this transfer RNA (69 nucleotides) under Appolonius crassus. RNAcentral's name for it is "tRNA-Val". The record is from RNAcentral. Lineage: Eukaryota; Metazoa; Arthropoda; Insecta; Hemiptera; Rhyparochromidae.
CAAGUUGAGCCAAAGUGGUGUUAUUAUUUACAAUAAUAUUUUAAGUAUGUGCGAUUCAUCUCUUCUUGA